Molecule: long non-coding RNA, 500 nt
Filed under: Ananas comosus (pineapple)
Lineage: Eukaryota; Viridiplantae; Streptophyta; Magnoliopsida; Poales; Bromeliaceae
Description: long non-coding RNA (ACOM_LNC040798)
Source: RNAcentral
AAUAUAACAUACCAAAUUUUGGUAUAAAAAUAAAAAUAAAUAAAAAUAGUGUGAGAAACUAUUUUUAUUGAAUUUAGAGAAGUAAAAAAUAAGUCAGAAGUGACUUGUGCUGAAAUCGGAAUGAAAACAGAAGAUUUAGAAUUUUCUGUUGGAAACGGGACAGAUAAAUUAGCAGAAAAUGUGCAGUGUCAGAAAAUUAUGAAAACUGGAGGAUAAGCCAGAAUCAUUUUUAUGAGGCUAGAUUUAAAGUUUCAUGUCAUUCUGACACCCGAAAGGUGAAAAAUAAAAUCCGACAGCUAUCUGAUAAAGAUUACAGUUCGGUACAGUUUUCGGUGACCAAACGUGGUCGAAACUGAAAUAUUAAAAUUUCUUUGGACUCGUUAAGUAAAACCGAAUACGAUUGUCAAAUUUAAGAUCAAACGGAUGCUUAGGGAGCUCCGGCGAAAGAUAUCAGAUUUCGAGCUGCCUAGAGUGAAUAGUGUUGCAGGGUGUAUUUAUUA